CCUACGGGAGGCAGCAGUGGGGAAUAUUGGGCAAUGGGCGCAAGCCUGACCCAGCAACGCCGCGUGAAGGAAGAAGGCUUUCGGGUUGUAAACUUCUUUUGUCAGGGAAGAGUAGAAGACGGUACCUGACGAAUAAGCCACGGCUAACUACGUGCCAGCAGCCGCGGUAAUACGUAGGUGGCAAGCGUUGUGCGGAUUUCCUGGGUGUAAAGGGCGUGUAGCCGGGUUGACAAGUCAGAUGUGAAAUCCUGCGGCUUAACCGCAGAACUGCCUUUGAAACUGUUGGUCUUGAGUACUGGAGAGGCAGAUGGAAUUCGUAGUGUAGCGGUGAAAUGCGUAGAUAUUAGGAGGAACACCAGUGGCGAAGGCGGUCUGCUGGACAGCAACUGACGGUGAGGCGCGAAAGCGUGGGGAGCAAACAGGAUUAGAUACCCCGGUAGUC
Molecule: ribosomal RNA, 442 nt
Filed under: uncultured bacterium
Lineage: Bacteria
Description: partial 16S ribosomal RNA
Rfam family: Bacterial small subunit ribosomal RNA
Source: RNAcentral